This 84-nucleotide transfer RNA is filed under the name Fidelibacterota bacterium. RNAcentral's name for it is "Candidatus Marinimicrobia bacterium tRNA-Leu". It matches the Rfam family "tRNA". Rfam says of the family: Transfer RNA (tRNA) molecules are approximately 80 nucleotides in length. Their secondary structure includes four short double-helical elements and three loops (D, anti-codon, and T loops). Lineage: Bacteria; Pseudomonadati; Fidelibacterota. The record is from RNAcentral.
GCCGCGGUGGCGGAACUGGUAGACGCGCUGGAUUUAGGAUCCAGUGUCCCUAUGGACGUGUAGGUUCGAGUCCUAUCCGCGGCA